Molecule: non-coding RNA, 999 nt
Organism: Phasianus colchicus (ring-necked pheasant)
Lineage: Eukaryota; Metazoa; Chordata; Aves; Galliformes; Phasianidae
Source: RefSeq, a predicted model, not a curated record
GGACCUAUGGGAGGAGGGAGGGAUCCAUGGGGAGAGGGAGGGAUCCUACAGGGAGAGCGGGGGGUGGGGGCUCCCUAAGGAGGGAUGGGUCCCAUGGGACAGCGCUAUGGGGCGGCUGGAUCCCACAGGAUGCUGGGUUAUGGGGUGGCUGGGUCCCAUAGGAUGUGGGGUUAUGGGAUGGCUGGAUCCCAUAGGGUGUGAGGUUAUGGGAUGGCUGGAUCCCACAGGUCACUGGUUAUGGGAUGGAUGGAUCCCACAGAAUGCUGGUUAUGUGAUGGCUGGAUCCCAUAGGGUGUGAGGUUAUGGGAUGGCUGGAUCCCACAGGACAUGAGGUUAUGGGAUGGAUGGACCCCAAUGGACAUCAAGUUAUGGGAUGGCUGGAUCCCACAGGAUGCAGGUUAUGGGAUGGCUGCACCCCAAUGGACAUCAGGUUAUGGGAUGGAUGGAUCCCUCAGGACAUGAGGUUAUGGGAUGGCCGGACCCCACACAAUAUCAGGUUAUGGGAUGGUUGGAUCCCACAGGACAUCAGGUUAUGGGACGGAUGGACCCACAGGACAUGAGGUUAUGGGAUGGCCGGACGCUAAUGGACAUGAGGUUAUGGGAUGGCCGGACCCUAAUGGACAUGAGGUUAUGGGAUGGCUGGAUCCCACAGGACGCAGGUUAUGGGAUGGCCGGACGCUAAUGGACAUGAGGUUAUGGGAUGGCUGGACCCUAAUGGACAUGAGGUUAUGGGAUGGCUGGACGCUAAUGGACAUGAGGUUAUGGGAUGGCCGGACGCUAAUGGACAUGAGGUUAUGGGAUGGCUGGACCCCACAUAAUAUCAGGUUAUGGGAUGGCCAGACGCUAAUGGACAUGAGGUUAUGGGAUGGCCAGACCCUAAUGGACAUGAGGUUAUGGGAUGGCCGGACCCUAAUGGACAUGAGGUUAUGGGAUGGCUGGAUCCCACAGGACACAGGUUAUGGGAUGGCCGGGCCCUAAUGGACAUGAGGCUAUGGGCUG